This 600-nucleotide ribosomal RNA is filed under the name Sphingomonas sp. 09WSH1-2. Its description in RNAcentral is "bacterial SSU rRNA". It matches the Rfam family "Bacterial small subunit ribosomal RNA", at positions 114 to 749 of the family's 1533-position model. The record is from RNAcentral. Lineage: Bacteria; Pseudomonadati; Pseudomonadota; Alphaproteobacteria; Sphingomonadales; Sphingomonadaceae.
CGCGUGGGAAUCUGCCCUUUGGUUCGGAAUAACAGCUGGAAACGGCUGCUAAUACCGGAUGAUGACGAAAGUCCAAAGAUUUAUCGCCAGAGGAUGAGCCCGCGUUGGAUUAGGUAGUUGGUGGGGUAAAGGCCUACCAAGCCGACGAUCCAUAGCUGGUCUGAGAGGAUGAUCAGCCACACUGGGACUGAGACACGGCCCAGACUCCUACGGGAGGCAGCAGUGGGGAAUAUUGGACAAUGGGCGAAAGCCUGAUCCAGCAAUGCCGCGUGAGUGAUGAAGGCCCUAGGGUUGUAAAGCUCUUUUACCCGGGAAGAUAAUGACUGUACCGGGAGAAUAAGCCCCGGCUAACUCCGUGCCAGCAGCCGCGGUAAUACGGAGGGGGCUAGCGUUGUUCGGAAUUACUGGGCGUAAAGCGCACGUAGGCGGCUUUGUAAGUCAGAGGUGAAAGCCUGGAGCUCAACUCCAGAACUGCCUUUGAGACUGCAUCGCUUGAAUCCAGGAGAGGUCAGUGGAAUUCCGAGUGUAGAGGUGAAAUUCGUAGAUAUUCGGAAGAACACCAGUGGCGAAGGCGGCUGACUGGACUGGUAUUGACGCUGA